RNAcentral lists this ribosomal RNA (480 nucleotides) under uncultured bacterium. Its description in RNAcentral is "partial 16S ribosomal RNA". It matches the Rfam family "Bacterial small subunit ribosomal RNA", at positions 28 to 507 of the family's 1533-position model. The record is from RNAcentral.
GACGAACGCUGGCGGCGUGCUUAACACAUGCAAGUCGAACGAUGAAGAAAAGAAUUGAAGCUUCGGCAGAAAUUCAUUUCGGAUUAGUGGCAGACGGGUGAGUAACGCGUGAGCAACCUACCUCUUACAAAGGGAUAGCCUCGGGAAACCGGGAUUAAUACCAUAUAACAUUGCGACGAAGCAUUUCGAUGCAAUCAAAGCUACGGCGGUAAGAGAUGGGCUCGCGUCCCAUUAACCAGAUGGUGAGGUAACGGCUCACCAUAGUAACGAUGGGUAACCGGCCUGAGAGGGUGAACGGUCACACUGGAACUGAGACACGGACCAGACUCCUACGGGAGGCAGCAGUGGGGAAUAUUGCACAAUGGAGGGAACUCUGAUGCAGCGACGCCGCGUGAGUGAUGAAGGAAUUCGUUUCGUAAAACUCUGUUCUAUGGGAAGAAAAGGACUGUACCAUAGGAGAAAGCUCCGGCUAAAUACGUG